UGGGGAGUGACUCAGUGAUAAAGUAUUUGCCUAGCAAGCAACAAACUCUGGGUUUUAUCCCCAGCACAACAA
Dipodomys ordii (Ord's kangaroo rat) is the source of this 72-nucleotide non-coding RNA. The record is from Rfam. NCBI's taxonomy places the organism in Eukaryota, Metazoa, Chordata, Mammalia, Rodentia, Heteromyidae.